GAGACAUUGUCUUAUUAAAAGACACUCAGGCCCACAGGAACGAAUGGCCUAUUGGACUCAUUGUGGGGACUGAUCCUAGUGGUGAUGCUAGAGUUAGAAAAGUUGAAGUUAGAAUUGUUAGACAGGGCAUUCCCAAGGUGUAUGCUAGGCCAAUUUCUGAAGUAGUUUUACUUCUGUCCAAAGGUUAGUGGCAUAACCAAUGGUACGCCAGGUGGGGAGUGUGCUGCCUUUGCAAUGUAUAUUACAUGCUUGGCACUCAGUAGUGUCUGUUUCUUUAAGACCCUCCAUUUUCUUGAAGCCUAGAGGCGGGUCUUCUCUGUACUCUCUAGGGCUUGCUGGGACAUAUCCUGUUCAGUCCAGCUCUGGGUACUAUAGUGACCAGAUCCACAGGACAUCUUAAAGCUAUUACAGAUUGCAAACCUGACGAACACCAAAGCCUUUUUACCUCACAUAUCAUCCCAUAUCAUAUCAUAUGAACAUUAUUGUACACAUUCCUGUUCAUUAUAUCUCAGUAAAGAUUGCAUCAGUUCAGCAAA
This is a long non-coding RNA of Bufo gargarizans (Asiatic toad), 536 nucleotides long. RefSeq lists it as uncharacterized. Lineage: Eukaryota; Metazoa; Chordata; Amphibia; Anura; Bufonidae. The record is from RefSeq and is a predicted model, not a curated record. The transcript is spliced from 2 exons.